CCUACGGGAGGCAGCAGUAAGGAAUAUUGCUCAAUGGCCGAAAGGCUGAAGCAGCAACGCCGCGUGGAGGAUGAAAUACUUUUGUAUGUAAACUCCUGUAAGAGGGGAAAAAUAUACAGCUAUGCUGUGUUGAUUGUACCCUCAGAGUAAGCACCGGCUAACUACGUGCCAGCAGCCGCGGUAAUACGUAGGGUGCUAGAGUUGUCCGGAUUUACUGGGUGUAAAGGGUGCUCAGGUGGGUUUGUAAGUCAGAGGUGAAAUCCCAAAGCUUAACUUUGGAGCUGCCUUUGAUACUGCAAGUCUGGAGUUUGAGAGAGGGCAAUGGAAUAUCUGGUGUAGCAGUGAAAUGCGUAGAUAUCAGAUAGAACACCAAUGGCGAAGGCAGUUGCCUGGCUCAAAACUGACGCUAAAGCACGAAAGUGUGGGGAGCAAACAGGAUUAGAUACCCUGGUAGUCCACACCCUAAACGAUGAAUACUAGAUGUUGGUCCUUUUUAGGAUCAGUAUCCAAGCUAACGCAUUAAGUAUUCCACCUGGGAAGUACAAUCGCAAGGUUGAAACUCAAAUGAAUUGACGG
This 576-nucleotide ribosomal RNA is filed under the name uncultured bacterium. RNAcentral's name for it is "bacterial SSU rRNA". It matches the Rfam family "Bacterial small subunit ribosomal RNA", at positions 338 to 916 of the family's 1533-position model. The record is from RNAcentral.